AGAGUUUGAUCCAUGGCUCAGAUUGAACGCUGGCGGCAUGCCUUACACAUGCAAGUCGAACGGUAACAGGUCUUCGGAUGCUGACGAGUGGCGAACCGGGUGAGUAAUACAUCGGAACGUGCCCGAUCGUGGGGGAUAACGGAGCGAAAGCUUUGCUAAUACCGCAUACGAUCUACGGAUGAAAGCAGGGGACCGCAAGGCCUUGCGCGGACGGAGCGGCCGAUGGCAGAUUAGGUAGUUGGUGGGAUAAAAGCUUACCAAGCCGACGAUCUGUAGCUGGUCUGAGAGGACGACCAGCCACACUGGGAUUGAGACACGGCCCAGACUCCUACGGGAGGCACCAGUGGGGAAUUUUGGACAAUGGGCGAAAGCCUGAUCCAGCCAUGCCGCGUGCAGGAUGAAGGCCUUCGGGUUGUAAACUG
This 422-nucleotide ribosomal RNA is filed under the name Acidovorax defluvii. RNAcentral describes it as "bacterial SSU rRNA". It matches the Rfam family "Bacterial small subunit ribosomal RNA", at positions 8 to 432 of the family's 1533-position model. The record is from RNAcentral. Lineage: Bacteria; Pseudomonadati; Pseudomonadota; Betaproteobacteria; Burkholderiales; Comamonadaceae.